Molecule: ribosomal RNA, 468 nt
Filed under: uncultured bacterium
Lineage: Bacteria
Description: partial 16S ribosomal RNA
Rfam family: Bacterial small subunit ribosomal RNA
Source: RNAcentral
GACGAACGCUGGCGGCGUGCUUAACACAUGCAAGUCGAACGGAAAGGCCCUGCUUUUGUGGGGUGCUCGAGUGGCGAACGGGUGAGUAACACGUGAGCAACCUGCCCUUGCCUUUCGGAUAACUUCAGGAAACUGGGGCUAAUACCGGACAGCAGCUUCUGUAGCAUGGAGAGGGUUGGAAAGUCUCGGCGGUUGGGGAUGGACUCGGGGCUUAUCAGCUUGUUGGUAGGGUAGUGGCUUACCAAGGCUUUGACGGGUAGCCGGCCUGUGAGGGUGACCGGCCACAUUAGGACUGAGAUACGGACCAGACUCCUACGGGAGGCAACAGUGGGAAAUAUUACACAGUGGGUGCAAGCCUGAUGCAGCAACGCCGCGUGCGGGAUGACGGCCUUCGGGUUGUAAACCGCUGUCGCCUGUGACGAAGCGUGAGUGACGGUAAUGGGUAAAUAAGCACCGGCUAACUACGUG